This is a long non-coding RNA of Dicentrarchus labrax (European seabass), 424 nucleotides long. RefSeq lists it as uncharacterized. Lineage: Eukaryota; Metazoa; Chordata; Actinopteri; Moronidae. The record is from RefSeq and is a predicted model, not a curated record. The transcript is spliced from 2 exons.
CUGCAGGAAGUAGCUCUGCGAUUUACUUCCUGUCAGAGGGCUAUUGGGGACAGGAAUGGAGAGGAGGUUUACAGCUUGUAAUAAUGCUGGUGCUCCUCAUUGGGGGAUGAUUGGCUGGUGGCCCUGCACCCAGGUUUAAGCGAGGCUGGAGAAGCAGCAGCAGUUAGCUUCUUUUGCUCUUUGAUUUUGUGUUUUGUUCUUUGAGGGUGGGGGUCUGGUAGUCCAGCUUUCAGUUCUUUGUUUCUUAGUUUAGUUACAAUGAUUUUGUUAGGUUUGAUAGUUUAGGUGGGGAAGCUCUGGGUCCAGACUUCCUCCAUCCCUUUGUUCUUCUGGGUCAGACCUCCAGACUCCCACAGUUUUUGUUAUUAUGUGGUAUUUGUUUCUGGCAUUAUUUGUAAAUAAAAUAAUUUUGCAUUAAAACUGA